RNAcentral lists this ribosomal RNA (253 nucleotides) under uncultured bacterium. Its description in RNAcentral is "partial 16S ribosomal RNA". It matches the Rfam family "Bacterial small subunit ribosomal RNA", at positions 524 to 776 of the family's 1533-position model. The record is from RNAcentral.
UACAGAGGCCUCGAGCGUUAGGCGGAAUCACUGGGCUUAAAGCGUGUGUAGGCGGACUUCUAAGUGCCUUGUGAAAUCCCACGGCUCACCGGUGGAACUGCUGGGCAUACUGGGAGUCUUGAGCCACCUAGGGGCGAGCGGAACAAAUGGUGGAGCGGUGAAGUGCGUAGAUAUCGUCAGGAAUGCCGGUGGUGAAGACGGGUGACUGGGCUGGUUCUGACACUGAGGCACGAAAGCGUGGGGAGCGAACGGG